This 242-nucleotide ribosomal RNA is filed under the name uncultured bacterium. RNAcentral describes it as "partial 16S ribosomal RNA". It matches the Rfam family "Bacterial small subunit ribosomal RNA", at positions 15 to 252 of the family's 1533-position model. The record is from RNAcentral.
GAUCCUGGCUCAGGACGAACGCUGGCGGCGCGCCUAACACAUGCAAGUCGAACGAGCGAGAGAGAGCUUGCUUUCUCGAGCGAGUGGCGAACGGUUGAGUAACGCGUGAGGAACCUGCCUCAAAGAGGGGGACAACAGUUGGAAACGACUGCUAAUACCGCAUAAGCCCACGACCCGGCAUCGGGUANAGGGAAAAGGAGCAAUCCGCUUUGAGAUGGCCUCGCGUCCGAUUAGCUAGUUGG